Long non-coding RNA from Bos taurus (domestic cattle), 1162 nucleotides. The record is from Ensembl. Lineage: Eukaryota; Metazoa; Chordata; Mammalia; Artiodactyla; Bovidae.
GUUCCAAGAGAACCAGCCUGGGGUUUCCAGUGCAAUUUCUUCCUGUGUGGUCAUUAAGACCCUCAAGUCAUCUUCCUAGCCAGUCCACCCCAGAGGGCACCACCUCAGAGCUUUAAGUGCCCCAGAAGUUGAGGUGUUGGUUUCCCCAGUGAGGCCAUAGGCCAGGGGCCACCUCUACAGGGAGAGCACUGUACUCUGAGCAACAGGGGUCCAGGUUGACCACUGUUCUGCCCACUUCCCAGCUGUGUGACCUUGGAAUCCAGAGAAGGGACUUCCCUGGCCGUCCAGUGAUUUGGACUCCGCGCUUCCAUUCCAGGGGGCACAGAUUCGAUCCCGUCAAGGAACUAAGAUCCUGCGUACUAUACGGUGCAGCCAAAAGAGAAGUAGAAGAAAAUCCAAAGAAGAUAAGGGCCUUACCUGCACAUAGCCUCACCACCAAAAUGCCCCUUCCCUGCCAUUCUGAAGGAACUGGAGUCAGGCAUAAAAGCACGUUUCUGCAAGGGCCUAUGGGGAUUUUCCAGAAAGACUCCAUUCAGCUGGAGAAUUCCAUUCCUGGCCCUGCCACCCAGGGCUCAGGCUAAGGAGAGAUGCUCCGGCUCAUUCCGGUUCUGCCCAGUUCUUGCUCCUUGCCUGCCAAACCCACAUCAGGGUGUCCCACACUGUAAUCUCUUGCUGUUUUCUGUGGAGUGUGAGGUGCCUGAGGAUCCAAGGGGUCCCUCAGAGGCCUGACACAGAACAGUGAGGGGCCCUCUCCUGACCCCCCUCCCCAUCCCUUCCUGGGCCCUCCCUUUCCUUCACCCAGCAUGUUUUAGCAUUUUCCCUGGAGCCAGCCCCUGCCCUCAGGGUCACCCUGGAUGAACACGGACAAACCAAUACAAUGGACACUGAUUUGGGGCACAGAUGGCACCUGACACAGCUUGGGGGUGGGUAUGACAAAGGCAGCUGGAGAGGGGAAGUGGAGCCAGCUUGCGACAACUGCCUGGACAGAAGCUCAGAGCUUUGGGAUGUACUGUUACGUUUCCGAGAAACUGGAGAACAGGUCUGAGGGAGUCAGAUGGACACUGAGGUCCAAAUAGGAGCUGAACUGAACUCAUGCAUUGUAUCUACUUAGCUGGAGUUGGACCCCAAUUCCCUUCCCACUCCAGCCUCUCCCCUCCACAGC